CGUAUCGUCAGAAAAAAAAGGAGGAAAGAAAAAAAAGAACAAGAUCGAUUCGAAACAAUCAAUACAGUUUUCUUUAUCCGACGGACUCGAGUAUCGAUGCGAAAUAAAAAGAAAAAAAAAAAAAAAUAGAAAGGAAAAAAAGAUAAAAGACGCAUGUCAAACGAGCGAUAAUAAUACAGUCUAAUUUCAACGUUGGUACGUCACAACGGCAUGAUAUUAUAUCGACAAAACAUUCGUAUUUACGAGUGCUAAUGAUGCGAAUUGAUUAAUAUGUGUUCGUGUUCGUGAGGAAAUCGGGGGGAAAAAAAGAAGCAUGGAAAAAAAGGAUAAGCGGAAUGAAGCGAAGGCGACAUAUGUGUACCACAACGCACUACGCCAUCGUGUAAGCGCAUAGUGAGAGAGAAGCCGGCGUAUGCAAAAGACCGACGUAUGUGAUAAAAUCAAAUCCCGUGUCCCUGGUUACGUGAGUGACAGGGCGGCUUCAUCACCGCGGGACGCGCGAGAGAUAAAAGCUGGAGCGCAUAACAAGGUGCCUGCGAAAGUGCACUCUCGCGACAAGGGGCCAAAGCUACGAUUCGCAACGCGUGUGUACGUAUUUCUACUAACGCGAUAUCUCUCGUCUUUUGGAUCAACAAGACGUCCACCGUGAUAAACGAGUCGAGCUGACGCAUAAUUGGAAGUGAGGCGACGAUGAAACGAAACGAGCACGCUCGUUUUUCCUUUCUUAGCGAGGACUGUCCCAGCAGGAACAAAAAAAAUAUAUGUGUGUAUGUAUGCAUGUAUGUUUGUAUAUAGUAUCCGUCUAAACGUACUUCCCAAUUUAAGCGAAUCAAGAAAUCUAAGAGGAGAAUAAGGAAGAAAAAAAAGGAACAAGGAAAAGAAAAAUACGAACGAUUGAUUAGCUUGUUGUUUGAGAUCGUUUAAUACAGUUUCGUUUUUAUUAAGAAUGACGACAACGAUCAUGAUGAUGAUGAUGACGACGAUGAUGAUGAUGACGAGAACAUGAGUAAAAAUAGCAUCGAAAGCGAAUCGAGGAGAGUUCAAGAGCGAAGGCCUCGACUGUAUUGCUUAUCGAGUCGAACGAGAGAGAAGAGAUAUAUGGAUGAAGAACGAGAAAGAAAAAGAGAGAGAGAGAGAGAGAGAGAGAGAGAGAGAGAGGGAGAAGAAGAAGAAAAAGGAGAGAAAAAGAGAGAGAGAGAGAGAGACAAUAGGUCGAAUGUAAAUGCAAGAACGUGAGUCCCAUCUAGAUCGUUAUUCGAGUGUACGACGAAAAGCAAUGUUCUGUCGCGUCGAAGAGCUAUUCAACUCCAUCGAAUCCUUCACUUUUUAUCCCGUCAACAUCCUGAUCGUUCUCGCAUUGAAUUUCAAUUCCUUCUCUGUUAGCAGCAUCGAAAGCCAAAAGAGAAACAAGCUUAAUUAUACAUUUAAAAUCUCAAUUAAAAGUCACGCUUGUUUCGAAAAAAGAAAAAAAAAGAGAAAGAAAAAGAAAAAAUGCUUAUGGCUUAUGUACGAUGAAAGAAGAAAAAGAAAAUAAGACAAUCUUCAUCGUCAACCUCGAAACGAAAGCAAAGUAAUAGUUAUCGACAAAGGGAUAUCCAGAACGAAUGUGAUAAGAAAAGGAUGAAGGAGAAAAAGAAGAAGGAGAAAUAGGAAAAGAAGAAACAUAAAAGCAAAAAGAAAGAAAAGAAAAAGAAGAGAUCUCAUGGCGGCGAUCAUGGUACCUACGAGUAGAUCGCGGCUCGUGUUUGCGAAGCCAUUAGAAGGCUCGUUACGUGUCACCAAGUCGGAUAUCACCAGCUCUGUCGUCCUUGUCGUCGUCGUCGUCGUCGUCGUCGUUGUCCUCUUCGCGUCGUCAUCGUUCACCUACGAGAAGAAAGAGAGAGAGAGAGAGAAAGAGAGAGAACGAGAUGGAGAGUCGUCGGCCAAGCUCUCGCACAAUUAUGCAUCCGCAGAAGACAGAACAUUAAUUUAUGGUUGAAAUAAGGGCCCGGCGUGUGCGCGCGCGUGUCGGCGCGUCUGUUGCGCCGGACGAGCGUGGGCGCCGUGAGUGCCUCGCUUAAAACAUUUCUCUGGUUCACCUCCGGUGCGCGCCUCCAACGAGCCUCGAGAGAUGCAGAAAGACCGAGAGAGACAGAGAGAGAGAGAGAGAGAGAGAGAGGACCGCGUGUUCGUUAUUUGUACCCACGUAUUUCUAUACACGCGCAUAUAGAAAUGUAUAUCUUUCUCCUUCUCUCUCUCUCUCUCUCUCUCUCUCUCUAUCUUUCUUUUCGCGUGUGUAUGAGACCGAUACAUGGGGUGUUUCAAAAGUCAUCGAUAUAUGACUUUUCAUAUAUAUAUAUUUUUUUUUAUCACAUAGAAUAACGAUUAACGAAUUAAAGAAAUACGUUUCAGUACGAAGAAUUAUUAUCGAUCCGUAUUCGUUUUAAUAAUCGAAACGAAUCUAGCGAUAUAAUAUCGAAGAUGAGAAUCUUUCUUUCUUUCUUUCUCGAUUUCGAUUUAUCGUACACUCUGUAUAUUCACUCGGCGAAGCUCUUAACCCCUCCCAGAUCACUCUUGGUUCUACCUCUCUCUCUUUCUCGAGCGUCGCGAGCUGCGAUGCAGGCGAUUAAUAACCAAGGUGUUUCGAAUAAAUUAAAGCACUUACUUAUCUCCCUCGUGGUGCGUGGUGCACCGAUAGUACGUACCGCGGUCUCGUCGUGACACGACAAACAUAUUCGUUGGAUUCGUUCUCACCUAUUCACCUGGUAUUCCGUCCUGGGAUUGCUUACACUCGGCCACUUGGGUGGUUCCGGGCAUCGCUGUCUUUGCUUGGAACGAUAUUUCAAAGCAGCUACGAUAGCAUCCCCUCUUUCAUUCUCCCUGUCUCUCUUUCUCUUUCUCUUUCUUAGUCUCUCUCUCUCUCUCUUUUUCUCUCUUUCUUUCUUCUUCAAACGGAGCAUCCGUUUCUCAGACGAGAUUGGCGACUUGCAGUCUGCUACUCUUUAAUCUUGAAUACAUCGCACGUAGAAAUCUAUGUUAACUAGAUUGAAACUUAUCGUUACUUAAAUAUCAUUCCUAACGUCCGAACGAUCGUUCAGCAUCCGCUUACGAUUGUAUAUAAAUAUAUGUAUGUGUGUCCGUGUGUCCAUGAUGAAAGAACGCGAUUAAUUAAUUAACAUUAUACUCACGCGUUACUAGGACGAAAGAGUCGAGAAGAAUGCUAUUCUCAGAGCGUGUCACCGAGUUCAAAGAUACUUUGAUCGAUCUCAGUUUCUCGAGUAAUGCACGAUGAGUAUAUGUAAGUAAGUAAGUAAGUACGCGAGUCAGUCCAUUGACCGGUGGUAAUUAACCCAUAAAAGAGAGAAGAGUCUUUUCUACUUGAUUAUACGCGUAUAGGGUAGGUAAGUGAGUGAGUGAGUGAGUGAGUGAGUGAGUAUGUAUAGAUAUACAUACAUACGCAGAGGGUAUGUUGAACAUGUGGCUAAGUGUAUGCAUAAACGUUCUCCCUUCUGUAUAUAUCAUACGUAUGUACAUACGUACGUAGAAGACAAUGGAACGAGGCGUUCCGAUCGCUUAACGGUAUAGAAGUAUCCUCCUCCUCCUCCUCCUCCUCCUCCUCCUCCUUCUUCUUUGCAAGAAAGAGAAUAAGAGAGGAAUAAGGACAGUCGUAAGUUUGAAAGAAGAGGGAGCAGGUCGACGACGUCUUAUUCCUACGGCUAAGGUCGUACCCUUAUACACACACAUACACACAUACACACACACACACACGGCGGCGUAUAUAAUAUAAGAAAAGCAAGAGGAAGAGGAGGAAGAGAAGAACUCAAAGGCAACGUCGUCUUCGUCGUGCAGGAGCUAGCAGGUUCAGCAGAGUUUAACCUUGAGAAUGAUUAGAAAGCAAAAGAUCGUCCAGAGUCCUCCUACUUGGCGGCUUGGAUCACGACUCGUCCUCGCUCCUGCAACCUCUCAGCCUCUCGCAGGACUUUGAACGAGACCGUGACGGUAUCGUCUUAUUCGAAACGGAGCUCGAUACUAAAUUUUCUUUUAUAAUUUCUUCUUAUACUCUACGCUACACUUUAAUUACGUAUAUGCAUAUCCCUUUUAAAUAAUAUUGUUAUUCAAUUUUGUUGUAUCAGAGUAAGAUCGAUCAGAUAAGGAUAUAGGCUGUAUAUCUAUCACACGUGUUUCCAGAUAUUUUUUUUUUUCUUUUUUCUUGUUUUUUUUCCGGCCAUUAAAUGCCGACUAACGCUAUACCUAAUAAUUAUCCUAAAGCUACAUCCUUUUAUGUCGUUCGAAGUCGUGACAAGUUGUUCGAAACUGAUUAGGCGAACGAACGAACGAAAGACCGAAAGAACCGAAAGAAUCGAAGGAAGGGAAGGUUCUCUCUGUCACCAGUUUGGGUUCGCAGGUGCAGCGAUCGAAAUCGUUGGCCGAGGAGCUACCGAGGAUUAGCAGAGACGAGAAUCAUUCGAUAUAAUUGACGGUUCGCGAGGCCUCGGUGAACGAAUUAUGAAAGGCCAGGCAAUGGUCAGCGUCGACGUUCUAAUCGGCAUCGUUCUUCUUUUCUACUGAUUCCUACAGAACAUAUACACGCGCAGUUAUACACAUAGACACCAUAUAUGUGUAGCUAUAUACUACAUAUACAUAUAUAUAUAA
This is a long non-coding RNA of Vespula vulgaris, 4632 nucleotides long. RefSeq lists it as uncharacterized. The transcript is spliced from 2 exons. Lineage: Eukaryota; Metazoa; Arthropoda; Insecta; Hymenoptera; Vespidae. The record is from RefSeq and is a predicted model, not a curated record.